GGGGGAGGAGAGAGAAAACAGGAGGACGGAGGCCCUGGGGCUGGGGAAGCCCCCGCCCCCGCCCCGGAGGAGCUGCUGCCCCACCAGGCUGGGCCGAGGGUUGGAGCCUGGCACCGAGCUGCAGGGGGAGGGUGCCCGGGCAGAGGGCACAGGCUGGGUGACAACAGGCACAUGGCUCUGCCAUCACUUCUAAGCCCAGUGCCUCCUGUCCCAGCGACCCUUCCCGCUUGCCCCAUGGCAGCCCCGGCCACACCCCGCCCCUCACGGCAGCCCUGGGCUUCCUCCCCACUUAGCUCAGCCUUGCACCUGUUUCUUGUUCGCCUCCCCUGCCAAGCUCCCCGGGGCAGGGAUGAGACCCUCAGCGUUCACUCUCUGACCCCAGAGCCGAGCACAGUACCUGAUGUACAGCAAGGCUUCAUGGCACAGCUCACACCCUUGGAACACAGCACCUGCCCCUCUGUGCCUCGGUUUCCGCCCUAAGAAUCAGGCAUUCGUAGAGCCCCAGAAUAGUUUCCUGCCUCAUGAACAUGUAAAUAGAAAGACACAGUGAACAAAUGGAGAAUUACGGGUGCAAGUAUUCAGAAAAUUGUACUAGAGAUCACCAAGUUGCAUAAGUCUAAAUGCUGGCGUUUGAGGCCCAUAUUUCAUAGUCUCUUUUACUUUUCCCCGACAUUUUAUCCUGGUAAAUUUUAAACUCGUAGUAAGUCAGUAGAAUAGUACAACGAACACCUCAAUCCAAUGGUUAUCUUUUUACCCUGUGCUCCUUCUCUCGAGCUGGAAGGAAGAGUUGCUAUACUUCUAGAAGAAGGCUGCCUCUGGCCCCGAAGGAGGGGCUCUGCUGCCCGUGCUACACAUGGGGAAACAGCUCCAGAGACCCUCCAGGCUGGCACACGGGGCACAGCCCGGGAGAGCAGGGGUCCCUCCGCCCCAACAAGGUGGGACCCCAGGGCAGGACAGCACCGCGGGGGAAGGGCAGCCCAGACGCACUCAGACCUAACCGCUAUGGGCCUCAGUUUCCCCAGCUGUCAGCUGGAGACAGGCAGUACCAGCCGCAUCUGGUCGGCGUGGGGAUGGAGCCCAGCGGCCGUGAGCCCCUUCCCAGAGGCACCUUCUUCCCGGAGUGGUUGGUGACUAUGCCCCCACCUCCCACACCCACACAGCUGGUCCCCAGGGCUGUCCCCACCCUGGGCGGGGCCCCAGGAUCAGCACCCCAGCCCCACACUGAGAGAUGCAGGCGGGGACAGCUCAGGGCCUGCAGGGGGCCGGGAGCUUCACGAUUAUUAAUAUUUCCUCCUCCCUCGUCCCUCCCCAGACCUGCUCAACCAGUCUCCCCACCGCUGGCAGCAGCGAGCAGGCCUGACAUUUGAACCUACUAUUAUUCCCUGCCUCGCAUUGAGGGUGAGGAGAGCACAGGCCCUGCUUGGCCCACUUCAAUUCCUCUGUCCCCACUGCCAGGAAAAGGACUCAUUGCUCUUUACCGACAGGAGGGGAGACACCUUGGGGUCUGCAUUUAUGUCCUAGCUCUGCCUUUUACUUUGUGGCCUUGAAUGCGUCACUUUACCUCUCUAGACCACUGCAGAAUGGAGCAACAAAUUGCCACAUGGAAGAAUGAUUAGGAUUGAAAAGCCCCAGGUGCAGGACCCCAGAGGGCUGGGUGACAGCGCCAGCCAGAGCCACUCUGAGAAGGAACCCGGAGGCCUCGAGGGGCAGAGCCAGCGGUCCAGUCCCAUCUCCAACCUCGUCCACUGCCCCACUAGCCGUCUCUGGCUCCGCCCUGGGAGUCAGGGAGCCAGUGGCACCCAGCACACCUGCCAGAGCCCGUGAGGCCUGAGGCUGCCCUGGAAUGGAGGGCUGUCAGGCCACACAGGGCCCGGGCCUGGGCCGGGAAGGUGAAAGGCUGCAGUCUCUGUGCUGGACCUCCUGACACGGCUCACACUGUGGGACAUCUGAAUAUUCCAAGGCCCACGUUCGUGCUGCAACGCUCCAGCUGUGUGACGGUGCGGGAGUGGCUGUGCCUUUCUGCCCCUUGGUUUACCUAUCUGUACAAUGGGACAGCAGGACGGGGACAUUAAAAAAUAUUUUUACUUUUGGUGAUAGUCUCACUAUACAGUUCGGGCUGGCCUUGAACUCACUAUAUAGCACAGGCUGGUCACAUACUUUCGGUGAUCCUUCUGCUUCAGCUUCCUGAGUGCUGGGAUUAUAGGCAUGAGCUGCCACACCCAGCUGUGUGUGGAAUUUAAACAUUGUCUGGAGUUAGACACAGCAGGUACUUAGCAUGGUGCCUGAUUCGCAGGAGGUCUACAGUGAAUGAAUACUGAUCCCCUGUUCUGUGUCCACCGGAUGGUUUUACACUGCAUGCUGUUUGCUCUGUCUGAUAGACCCAACUCCAUAUUUCAUCUUAUAUGAACUCCUAUGCAUCUCUUAAGGCCCUAUCCAAAUAAUCCUUGCUUUGAGAAACCAUUUCUGACCCCUACCUUCACAUACACAGAAAGUCUUUUCAUCUGGGCUCCUUGACACCGCCUAUGGCCAUCUCCUCCCAGAGCCUGGCCAAACUACAGUUUGGUGAGCUGAGACCUGGGGAC
Molecule: long non-coding RNA, 2582 nt
Filed under: Fukomys damarensis (Damara mole-rat)
Lineage: Eukaryota; Metazoa; Chordata; Mammalia; Rodentia; Bathyergidae
Description: lncRNA (ENSFDAG00000033145.1)
Source: RNAcentral